Molecule: non-coding RNA, 101 nt
Filed under: Oceaniovalibus guishaninsula
Lineage: Bacteria; Pseudomonadati; Pseudomonadota; Alphaproteobacteria; Rhodobacterales; Roseobacteraceae
Also listed under: 1 other name
Description: Glycine sequence
Rfam family: Glycine riboswitch aptamer
About the family: This family represents the bacterial glycine riboswitch. Glycine riboswitches usually consist of two metabolite-binding aptamers domains with similar structures in tandem.
Source: RNAcentral
GGCGCAGCGACGGGAGAAGCCGGACCAUGCCAGGCAUGGCCCCGGUGCCGAAGGAGCAACCGCCCCGGUAAACUCUCAGGCAAAAGGACCGCCGCCGCGAC